Molecule: ribosomal RNA, 253 nt
Filed under: uncultured bacterium
Lineage: Bacteria
Description: partial 16S ribosomal RNA
Rfam family: Bacterial small subunit ribosomal RNA
Source: RNAcentral
GACGAACCACACGAACGUUAUCCGGAUUUACUGGGUUUAAAGGGUGCGUAGGUGGAUAAUUAAGUCAGUGGUGAAAUCUUCAGGCUUAACCUGGAAACUGCCAUUGAUACUAUUUGUCUUGAAUACUUUGGAGGUAAGCGGAAUAUGUCAUGUAGCGGUGAAAUGCUUAGAUAUGACAUAGAACACCAAUUGCGAAGGCAGCUUACUACACAGUAAUUGACACUGAGGCACGAAAGCGUGGGGAUCAAACAGG